GCGCUACGGACUUAAAAAAUCCGUCGACUUUAAAAAUCGUGAGGGUUCAAGUCCCUCUAUCCCCA
Molecule: transfer RNA, 65 nt
Filed under: Bacopa monnieri
Lineage: Eukaryota; Viridiplantae; Streptophyta; Magnoliopsida; Lamiales; Plantaginaceae
Description: tRNA-Leu
Source: RNAcentral